CAGUAUUCUGACUGUGCUAAGGUAGCAUAAUCAUUAGUCUUUUAAUUGGAGGCUGGUAUGAAUGACGAGACGAGAAAAUGCCUGUCUCUAUAAUAAACUUUGAAUUUCAUUUCUGAGUGAAAAAGCUCAGAUAAUUUUGAAGGACGAUCAGACCCUUUGGAGCUUUAUUUACUUUAAAAAUUUGAAUUUGUUUUAAUUGAUUGAAUGGAAAGUAAAUUUUGUUGGGGCGACAGGGAGUAAAAUAUAACACUCUUUUUUUAAAACAAUCCUAAUUGGAAAAUUGAUCCUUAGAGUGAGAUUAUAAGACUAAGUUACCCUAGGGAUAACAGCGUAAUCUUUUUGGAGAGUUCAAAUCGAUAAAAAGGUUUGCGACCUCGAUGUUGGAUUAAGAGAUUGGAAAGGUGCAGAAGUUUUGCUGGAAAGUCUGUUCGACUUUUAAUCUCUUACAUG
RNAcentral lists this ribosomal RNA (450 nucleotides) under Daphnia magna. RNAcentral describes it as "partial 16S ribosomal RNA". It matches the Rfam family "Bacterial large subunit ribosomal RNA", at positions 1934 to 2602 of the family's 2925-position model. The record is from RNAcentral. Lineage: Eukaryota; Metazoa; Arthropoda; Branchiopoda; Diplostraca; Daphniidae.